AUUGAACGCUGGCGGCAUGCCUUACACAUGCAAGUCGAACGGCAGCAUGGGAGCAAUCCUGGUGGCGAGUGGCGAACGGGUGAGUAAAGUAUCGGAACGUGCCCAGUCGUGGGGGAUAACGUAGCGAAAGUUACGCUAAUACCGCAUACGAUCUAUGGAUGAAAGCGGGGGAUCGCAAGACCUCGCGCGAUUGGAGCGGCCGAUAUCAGAUUAGGUAGUUGGUGGGGUAAAGGCUCACCAAGCCGACGAUCUGUAGCUGGUCUGAGAGGACGACCAGCCACACUGGGACUGAGACACGGCCCAGACUCCUACGGGAGGCAGCAGUGGGGAACUUUGGACAAUGGGCGUAAGCCUGAUCCAGCCAUGCCGCGUGCAGGAUGAAGGCCUUCGGGUUGUAAACUGCUUUUGUACGGAACGAAAAGGUUUGGCCUAAUAAGCUGAGCUCAUGACGGUACCGUAAGAAUAAGCACCGGCUAACUACGUGCCAGCCGCCGCCGUAA
RNAcentral lists this ribosomal RNA (500 nucleotides) under uncultured bacterium. Its description in RNAcentral is "partial 16S ribosomal RNA". It matches the Rfam family "Bacterial small subunit ribosomal RNA", at positions 30 to 523 of the family's 1533-position model. The record is from RNAcentral.